GAUGAACGCUAGCUACAGGCUUAACACAUGCAAGUCGAGGGGUAACGAGAGGAAAGCUUGCUUUCCUUGUCGACGACCGGCGCACGGGUGAGUAACGCGUAUCCAACCUGCCCCCAACUAAGGAAUAACCUUGCGAAAGUAAGACUAAUACCUUAUAAUCUCCUCAGAUGACAUCUGACGAGGAAUAAAGAUUUAUCGGUUGUGGAUGGGGAUGCGUCUGAUUAGCUUGUUGGCGGGGUAACGGCCCACCAAGGCAACGAUCAGUAGGGGGUCUGAGAGGAAGGUCCCCCACAUUGGAACUGAGACACGGUCCAAACUCCUACGGGAGGCAGCAGUGAGGAAUAUUGGUCAAUGGGCGGAAGCCUGAACCAGCCAAGUAGCGUGCAGGAUGACGGCCCUAUGGGUUGUAAACUGCUUUUAUACAGGAAUAAAGUUAGCCACGUGUGGUUAUUUGUAGGUACUGUAUGAAUAAGGACCGGCUAAUUCCGUGCCAGCAGCCGCGGUAA
This 506-nucleotide ribosomal RNA is filed under the name uncultured bacterium. RNAcentral's name for it is "partial 16S ribosomal RNA". It matches the Rfam family "Bacterial small subunit ribosomal RNA", at positions 28 to 523 of the family's 1533-position model. The record is from RNAcentral.